Long non-coding RNA from Pogonomyrmex barbatus (red harvester ant), 389 nucleotides. Lineage: Eukaryota; Metazoa; Arthropoda; Insecta; Hymenoptera; Formicidae. The record is from RefSeq and is a predicted model, not a curated record.
UUUAGAUCUCUCGGUGUCCAGAUGACUUUACUUUCCAAGAAUGGAAACAAAGAGAAAGAUCGCGCGUGCGAUCCAGGGAAGCCGGCUUUGCGAGAGACACGCGAAGAUCAGGGAAAGGUCUUAAUGAAGAUUCGUGGGAAGAAGCGCAGAGAAGAAACGUAUCUUCGUCAUUACCCGGCGAUGGCGACGUUCAGGUUUAUAAGGAAACAGGAGACACUCGCCACUUAAAGUUAUGCCACUGAGUCUGGAGAGCAGCUGGCUUUACAUGAAAUUCAUUAAAACCACACAAGCAGAGACCGUGGUUUUCUCUGGAAAAAAAAGGGAGAAGCUUCAGGUUUUAGAAGAGUGUUACUGGUAAUCUCUCCACGAGGCACUUCAAGCAGCAACAU